CAGCAGCCACGGUAAUACGCAGGGUGCAAGCGUUAAUCGGAAUUACUGGGCGUAAAGCGUGCGCAGGCGGUUUGUUAAGACAGAUGUGAAAUCCCCGGGCUCAACCUGGGAACUGCAUUCGUGACUGGCAGGCUAGAGUAUGGCAGAGGGGGGUGGAAUUCCGCGUGUAGCAGUGAAAUGCGUAGAUAUGCGGAGGAACACCGAUGGCGAAGGCAGCCCCCUGGGCCAAUACUGACGCUCAUGCACGAAAGCGUGGGGAGCAAACAGGAUUAGAUACCCGUGUAGUCCCUGUCUCUUAUAC
RNAcentral lists this ribosomal RNA (301 nucleotides) under uncultured bacterium. Its description in RNAcentral is "partial 16S ribosomal RNA". It matches the Rfam family "Bacterial small subunit ribosomal RNA", at positions 509 to 807 of the family's 1533-position model. The record is from RNAcentral.